Molecule: ribosomal RNA, 488 nt
Filed under: uncultured bacterium
Lineage: Bacteria
Description: bacterial SSU rRNA
Rfam family: Bacterial small subunit ribosomal RNA
Source: RNAcentral
UGAACGCUAGCUACAGGCUUAACACAUGCAAGUCGAGGGGCAGCGGGAUUGAAGCUUGCUUCAAUUGCCGGCGACCGGCGCACGGGUGAGUAACGCGUAUCCAACCUGCCCAUCACUUGGGGAUAACCUUGCGAAAGUAAGACUAAUACCCAAUGACGUCUCUAGAAGACAUCUGAAAGAGAUUAAAGAUUUAUCGGUGAUGGAUGGGGAUGCGUCUGAUUAGCUUGUUGGCGGGGUAACGGCCCACCAAGGCGACGAUCAGUAGGGGUUCUGAGAGGAAGGUCCCCCACAUUGGAACUGAGACACGGUCCAAACUCCUACGGGAGGCAGCAGUGAGGAAUAUUGGUCAAUGGACGAGAGUCUGAACCAGCCAAGUAGCGUGCAGGAUGACGGCCCUAUGGGUUGUAAACUGCUUUUAUAAGGGAAUAAAGUGAGUCUCGUGAGACUUUUUGCAUGUACCUUAUGAAUAAGGACCGGCUAAUUCCGUG